Molecule: long non-coding RNA, 645 nt
Organism: Ananas comosus (pineapple)
Lineage: Eukaryota; Viridiplantae; Streptophyta; Magnoliopsida; Poales; Bromeliaceae
Exons: 2
Source: RefSeq, a predicted model, not a curated record
UCUUCUUACAACAUUUAUUUGUGAUUUUUGUAAGAUUUGGAGAUGAAAAUCUAGUUUUGAAAAAAUUAGGGUUUUAUUUGGGUCUUUGUGAUUUGUAGCCUUUGGGGCUAAAUUGAUGAGUGUAGAACUCUCAUUUAUGUUAGAUUUGAAGCUUUGUAGCUUCAAUUGGGACUUUGAUCAAGUUCUCCUUAGGUAAAGGUAAUUUUCUAUCUAUUUAGGCUUAUUUUUGGGUAUCUUUGUAUGAUGUUCGUUUGAAGCUUGUAAUCUUUUUAGAAAUUCUUUUAUGGUGCUAGAAGUUUAGUGGACAACUUCGUUUGAAGGAAUGAAAGGAUUCGAGGAGCAUCCGCCUUGGAAGCCAUCGACUACGACAUCAACAUGGACGAGGAAGUCGUUGGCUGCAAUGAAAAAAAAUCCGACUCGUUGAAGAGAUCAACGAGGCGGCGGUGCACAGACACACAUGCGCCAUCAAGCGCCCGGAAAAGCUCCUCGGCCUUAGCCUUCCGCCUCCCGCUUGGGCCGCCGCCGCUGCCUCCACCUUGAGCGUGUCCUUGAUUGACCGGAUAGUGGCCCGGGGGAUGGGGGCCCCACAUUAUUGUUAAAUGUUAAUUUGCAUUAUUAAAAUAAAGUGUACAAUUUUCAUCCAAA